This 497-nucleotide ribosomal RNA is filed under the name uncultured bacterium. RNAcentral's name for it is "partial 16S ribosomal RNA". It matches the Rfam family "Bacterial small subunit ribosomal RNA", at positions 28 to 507 of the family's 1533-position model. The record is from RNAcentral.
GAUGAACGCUGGCGGCGUGCCUAAUACAUGCAAGUCGAGCGAACGGACGAGAAGCUUGCUUCUCUGAUGUUAGCGGCGGACGGGUGAGUAACACGUGGAUAACCUACCUAUAAGACUGGGAUAACUUCGGGAAACCGGAGCUAAUACCGGAUAAUAUCUUGAACCGCAUGGUUCAAAAGUGAAAGACGGUCUUGCUGUCACUUAUAGAUGGAUCCGCGCUGCAUUAGCUAGUUGGUAAGGUAACGGCUUACCAAGGCAACGAUGCAUAGCCGACCUGAGAGGGGGAUCGGCAACACUGGAACUGAGAAACGGUCAAGACUCCUACGGGAGGAAGAAGUAGGGAAUCUUCCGAAAAGGGCGAAAGCCUGACGGAGAAAGGCCGCGUGAGUGAUGAAGGUCUUCGGAUCGUAAAACUCUGUUAUUAGGGAAGAACAUAUGUGUAAGUAACAGUGCACAUCUUGACGGUACCUAAUCAGAAAGCCACGGCUAACUACGUG